This is a non-coding RNA of Oncorhynchus mykiss (rainbow trout), 447 nucleotides long. Lineage: Eukaryota; Metazoa; Chordata; Actinopteri; Salmoniformes; Salmonidae. The record is from RefSeq and is a predicted model, not a curated record.
GGAUCUAUUCUCUCAUCACCUCUGUACCGUCCACGUUUUUGCCCUCAGGCCCUGUUGAAGAGAAUGGACAGUCAUCUGAAAAAGACAAUUCUGAUACGUACCACGUAUACAGUUCAAUCCCUGACCGACCAGCAACAUCAGCCCAGCCGGAUGGGUUGUACAGUCUUCUGCAAGCACACUGAAACUACACCACUGGCUCUCUGUAGCUAUUUCUCACAGAAAUACUCUUUCUUGCAGGAUAACCUUUAUGUCUCAAACAUCAUGUUACUGUAAAUAAGUAUAUAAUACAUCUGCUGCAGUACCGUUUCUAUUUAUAAGCAACAUAAGUGGCUGCCAUCCCAUAGCAAAAUGUGUAGAACUGCAGGAAAUAAGCUUUAAAACUGAAUUUCUUUCUACCCCAAGGCAUAAUGUGGGAAAUUAGCUUUUUAACUGCAAAGUUCCCUCCGC